This 56-nucleotide ribosomal RNA is filed under the name Tricholoma robustum. RNAcentral's name for it is "partial large subunit ribosomal RNA". Lineage: Eukaryota; Fungi; Basidiomycota; Agaricomycetes; Agaricales; Tricholomataceae. The record is from RNAcentral.
UGACCUCAAAUCAGGUAGGACUACCCGCUGAACUUAAGCAUAUCAAUAGCGGAGGA